UGCCCACUGAUAAAUUUUAUUGAAGGGCUGCAGUAUUUUGACUGUACAAAGGUAGCAUAGUAAAUAGUCAUUUAAUUGGUGACUUGUAUGAAGGAUUGGAUGAAAUAUAAACUGUCUUAAAUGUAAAUUUAAAAUUUAAUUUUUUAGUUAAAAAGCUAAAAUAAAUUAAAAAGACGAGAAGACCCUAUAGAGUUUAAUUGAAUAUUUUUAAUUGAGAAUAUUUUAUGUAAAUAAGAAAUUAAAUUUAAAUUUUAAUUUUGUUGGGGUGAUGAAAAAAUUUAAUUAACUUUUUUUAAUUAAUUUACAUUAAUAAGUGAAUAUUUGAUCCAAUUUUAUUGAUUAUAAGAAAAAAUUACCUUAGGGAUAACAGCGUAAUUUUUUUUUUUAGUUCUUAUAAAAAGAAGAGUUUGCGACCUCGAUGUUGGAUUAAGAUAAAAUUUAAAUGUAGAAGUUUAAGGUUUUGA
This 464-nucleotide ribosomal RNA is filed under the name Euproctis sp. H2. Its description in RNAcentral is "partial large subunit ribosomal RNA". The record is from RNAcentral. Lineage: Eukaryota; Metazoa; Arthropoda; Insecta; Lepidoptera; Erebidae.